RNAcentral lists this transfer RNA (85 nucleotides) under Candidatus Peribacteria bacterium RIFCSPHIGHO2_02_FULL_51_15. Its description in RNAcentral is "tRNA-Leu". It matches the Rfam family "tRNA". From Rfam's summary of the family: Transfer RNA (tRNA) molecules are approximately 80 nucleotides in length. Their secondary structure includes four short double-helical elements and three loops (D, anti-codon, and T loops). Lineage: Bacteria; Candidatus Peregrinibacteriota; Candidatus Peribacteria. RNAcentral also lists the same sequence under 3 other names. The record is from RNAcentral.
GCCGAAGUGGCGGAACUGGUAGACGCGCACGACUCAAAAUCGUGUACCGCAAGGUGUGAGGGUUCGAGUCCCUCCUUCGGCACCA